Molecule: small RNA, 703 nt
Filed under: Rattus norvegicus (Norway rat)
Lineage: Eukaryota; Metazoa; Chordata; Mammalia; Rodentia; Muridae
Description: uncharacterized LOC103694566
Source: RNAcentral
UCCUAGAUUGAGUAAAGUUAUAUCCAGCGAUCAUCUGAUUUCCUGUGUACUAGACUAAUUCAGGCAGUUGAUUCAAGCGUGAUUAUAAGGUCAUGCUUGUGUAAAAAAAUCUUAUUUCAUGACCUCACCAAGAGUAUAUAAGGCCUGGCAGAAGCAAUUCAACCGGCUAUCAUAAGGCAGAGAACGAGCUAUUAGGUUCUUUUCAAAGACUAUUCUGUGUUCUUUGUUACAACCGCUGUUACCAGAUUCUAAAUUAGUAAACGUAACAGAAAACUGCCAUGAACCUUGAAUUCAUAUUUCUUGGUAGCAUUGUGCUUGCAACCAUUUUUGUCUUCCUGAAGAUUUUACUAGAGGAUACUUUGCCAUAAAGAUCACAGACAUUGCUGGAGAAUACCGCUGAAGUUCUCUAGAUAACACUAUAUGAAUGGACACCAAAGUUACCAUCUCAUAUAGCUGUAAGGACAACACCUUCUAUAUAAAACAAGAACAAUGCUGAGACUCUUCUGGUGAACAAUUUCAAUCAUAUUAUGGUGACUACAUCACAUAUUCAAUAGCCAUGUUCUGGGAAAUUCUAAUUCGUUUGGACAUCAUAGAAUGACUACUGGCUCGAAUAAAGAAAAAUAAAGUCCUUCUGUGAGAAACCCAUUAUUCCACUUAAAUGCUAAGCAGAUACAUACUAUGGAUGUCACAAUAGACACAGUGU